CACGUAGGGGGCAAGCGUUGUCCGGAUUUAUUGGGCGUAAAGAGCUCGUAGGCGGUUCGGUAAGUCAGGUGUGAAACCUCCAGGCUCAACCUGGAGACGCCACCUGAUACUGCUGUGACUAGAGUCCGGUAGGGGAGCGUGGAAUUCCUGGUGUAGCGGUGAAAUGCGCAGAUAUCAGGAGGAACACCAGCGGCGAAGGCGGCGCUCUGGGCCGGAACUGACGCUGAGGAGCGAAAGCGUGGGUAGCAAACAGG
RNAcentral lists this ribosomal RNA (254 nucleotides) under uncultured bacterium. RNAcentral describes it as "partial 16S ribosomal RNA". It matches the Rfam family "Bacterial small subunit ribosomal RNA", at positions 524 to 776 of the family's 1533-position model. The record is from RNAcentral.